Molecule: long non-coding RNA, 577 nt
Organism: Lethenteron reissneri (Far Eastern brook lamprey)
Lineage: Eukaryota; Metazoa; Chordata; Hyperoartia; Petromyzontiformes; Petromyzontidae
Source: RefSeq, a predicted model, not a curated record
AACGUAGCGAGGUAACGAGAAGCUGCCGAUGAAAUCCGAGGCCGUGGAUUCAUUCAAGACAAGAGUCCAAGUCUCGGGCGAAGCCAGGCAAAACAGGGUGGUGCUUUUUGAUAUGACAAAACUGGGUGAUGUUCAAUGUGGACAAAUGUCAAAACUGGGUGAAGGUGUACGAUUUAAUGUAUCAUUUUGUACACGUUUAGGUCCUUGCGUUAUUCAUCCAUAUGUCGCCACAGAUUUAGAGCAUUCCAAAUGAUGUUUCUCGUGGCUCAUGUUCCAUACCUUGCACCACAAACUUCCCGUUUGCAUACUGGCACAGUGUGCCAGCUCGCUUACUUGCCGUUUGUAUACUGGCACAGUGUGCCAGCUCGCUACUACAGUAACACUUACUUGCCAUAUGUAUACUGGCACAGUGUGCCAGCUUGCAACUACAGUAACACUUUCAGCUCGCGAACAUACACGAACUUGCCAUUUGUAUACUGGUACAGUGUGCCAGCUUGCAUGCUACACCUACUACAGUAGAACAACGGUAGAUAGUGUUUGCGUCGAGAAGUAUGGUGCUGCACACUUAGAACAAAAC